GGAAUCUUCGGCAAUGGACGCAAGUCUGACCGAGCAAUGCCGCGUGAGUGAGGAAGGCCCUCGGGUCGUAAAGCUCUGUUACCAGGGAAGAACGCUUGUGAGAGUAACUGCUCAUAAGGUGACGGUACCUGAGAAGAAAGCACCGGCUAACUACGUGCCAGCAGCCGCGGUAAUACGUAGGGGGCAAGCGUUGUCCGGAAUUAUUGGGCGUAAAGCGCGCGCAGGCGGCUAUGUAAGUCUUAUGUUUAAACCCAAGGCUCAACCUUGGAUCGCAUAGGAAACUGUGUAGCUUGAGUGUAGGAGAGGAAAGUGGAAUUCCACGUGUAGCGGUGAAAUGCGUAGAUAUGUGGAGGAACACCAGUGGCGAAGGCGACUUUCUGGCCUAUAACUGACGCUGAGGCGCGAAAGCGUGGGGAGCAAA
RNAcentral lists this ribosomal RNA (421 nucleotides) under uncultured bacterium. RNAcentral describes it as "bacterial SSU rRNA". It matches the Rfam family "Bacterial small subunit ribosomal RNA", at positions 358 to 772 of the family's 1533-position model. The record is from RNAcentral.